CUGACCUCAAAUCAGGCGGGACUACCCGCUGAACUUAAGCAUAUCAAUAAGCGGAGGAAAAGAAACUAACAAGGAUUCCCCUAGUAACUGCGAGUGAAGCGGGAWAAAGCUCA
RNAcentral lists this ribosomal RNA (113 nucleotides) under Cerioporus varius. RNAcentral describes it as "partial 28S ribosomal RNA". It matches the Rfam family "Eukaryotic large subunit ribosomal RNA", at positions 1 to 111 of the family's 3401-position model. Lineage: Eukaryota; Fungi; Basidiomycota; Agaricomycetes; Polyporales; Polyporaceae. The record is from RNAcentral.